Molecule: non-coding RNA, 158 nt
Filed under: Amborella trichopoda
Lineage: Eukaryota; Viridiplantae; Streptophyta; Magnoliopsida; Amborellales; Amborellaceae
Description: Bacterial large subunit ribosomal RNA
Rfam family: Bacterial large subunit ribosomal RNA
Source: Rfam by way of RNAcentral
GAUAACAGGUUGAUCUUCCCCAAGAGUUCACAUAGACAGGAAGGUUUCGUACCUCGAUCGACUCUUCACUACCUAAGGCAAUAGUAUGUUCCAAGGGUUGGGUUGUUUACCAAUUAAAGUGGUAAAUGAGCUUGGUUUAGAACGUCAUGAGACAGUUC